RNAcentral lists this ribosomal RNA (449 nucleotides) under uncultured bacterium. RNAcentral describes it as "partial 16S ribosomal RNA". It matches the Rfam family "Bacterial small subunit ribosomal RNA", at positions 29 to 523 of the family's 1533-position model. The record is from RNAcentral.
AAUGAACGCUGGCGGCAGGCCUAACACAUGCAAGUCGAACGGAUCCUUCGGGAUUAGUGGCGGACGGGUGAGUAACGCGUGGGAACAUACCCUUUGGUACGGAAUAGCCUCGGGAAACUGGGAGUAAUACCGUAUGUGGUCGAGAGACGAAAGAUUUAUCGCCAAAGGAUUGGCCCGCGGUGGAUUAGGUAGUUGGUGGGGUAAUGGCCUACCAAGCCGACGAUCCAUAGCUGGUUUGAGAGGAUGAUCAGCCACACUGGGACUGAGGCACGGCCCAGACUCCUACGGGAGGCAGCAGUGGGGAAUCUUAGACAAUGGGAGAAACCUUGAUCUAGCCAUGCCGCGUGAUCGAUGAAGGCCUUAGGGUUGUAAAGAUCUUUCAGGUGGGAAGAUAAUGACUGUACCACCAGAAGAAGCCCCGGCUAACUCCGUGCCAGCCGCCGCGGUAA